GACGAACGCUGGCGGCGUGCUUAACACAUGCAAGUCGAACGGAAAGGCCCUGCUUUUGUGGGGUGCUCGAGUGGCGAACGGGUGAGUAACACGUGAGUAACCUGCCCUUGACUUUGGGAUAACUUCAGGAAACUGGGGCUAAUACCGGAUAGGAGCUCCUGCUGCAUGGUGGGGGUUGGAAAGUUUCGGCGGUUGGGGAUGGACUCGCGGCUUAUCAGCUUGUUGGUGGGGUAGUGGCUUACCAAGGCUUUGACGGGUAGCCGGCCUGAGAGGGUGACCGGCCACAUUGGGACUGAGAUACGGCCCAGACUCCUAAGGGAGGCAGCAGUGGGGAAUAUUGCACAAUGGGCAGAAGCCUGAUGCAGCAACGCCGCGUGCGGGAUGACGGCCUUCGGGUUGUAAACCGCUUUCGCCUGUGACGAAGCGUGAGUGACGGUAAUGGGUAAAGAAGCACCGGCUAACUACGUG
RNAcentral lists this ribosomal RNA (468 nucleotides) under uncultured bacterium. RNAcentral describes it as "partial 16S ribosomal RNA". It matches the Rfam family "Bacterial small subunit ribosomal RNA", at positions 28 to 507 of the family's 1533-position model. The record is from RNAcentral.